RNA transcript from Varanus komodoensis (Komodo dragon), 1371 nucleotides. It is a transcript of the gene named ATP synthase c subunit lysine N-methyltransferase, with no coding region annotated. NCBI's taxonomy places the organism in Eukaryota, Metazoa, Chordata, Lepidosauria, Squamata, Varanidae. The transcript is spliced from 7 exons. The record is from RefSeq and is a predicted model, not a curated record.
AGGCCUUGGUUUGCGAGCUGGUUUCGUGAGUGAUUACUAUUAUCGCACCCGAGGCGGCUCGCUCCGCUCCGUUUUAUGCUCGCAACAACAGCCCUGUGAGGUGUUUCUAUUAUGUCGGAAAUACCCGGAAGCAACGCAGCACAUGACAUUUUGCCUUUGGUUGCCGCCAAAGAAGACUCUAAACAAAGGCGCUGGGGUUUACUGCUCACUGGUGUUGUUGGGGGGUCGCUGGUUGCCCUCUAUUCUGUUGCCGCUCCCUUCAUCGCUCCGGCACUGAGGAAGCAUUGCCUGCCGUUCGUGCCUGCCACUCCAAAGCAGAUUGAAAACGUGCUGGGUGCGCUGAGAGGCCGAAAGGGGUCCCUGGUUGAUCUCGGGAGCGGCGAUGGACGCAUUGUGAUAGCGGCUGCAAAAGUCGGAUUCAAAGCUGUUGGCUAUGACUUAAAUCCCUGGCUGGUCUGGUAUUCCAGGUACCGAGCCUGGAGAGAAGGAGUGCACCGAGAUGCCAAAUUCUACAUUUCAGAUUUAUGGAAGAUCAGUUUUUCCCAGUAUACGAAUGUUGUUAUAUUUGGAGUUCCUGGAAUGAUGCAGCAGCUCGAAGAGAAGCUUGGGCGAGAGCUCCGGAAAGAUGCCAAAGUCAUUGCCUGUCGCUUUCCUUUCCCCCGCUGGAGGCCAAGUCAUAGUUCUGGAACGGGCAUUGACACCGUGUGGACAUACGAUUCAGAAUCUUUUAGAACGAAAAGGAAAGGGACGCAAUCAUGACCAAGUUUGUUCCUCUAAUGAGAUACAAUUCCAAAAAUGUUGUGUUCUGAAUAGCUGGGGGUGUUUUGUGGAUCUCCUUGUGUCUCCCAUUUUGGAGAGAGAACAGCUCAAAAGUAGUUGCCACAAUGCUUUCCCAGAAGGUUUCCUGUGCUCCUUAAAGAAACGGAAAAAGAGGGAUUCAGUCAUGAAAACUAUUCAACCCCAGCAGGACUGGUGGGAGGACUCGCAAUGAGGGGUGUUUACAUCAGUCAUGGCCCCAUGCUGGACAGUGUUCUCUUCCUCAGCGGCUUGAGAUUGGGAGAAAGAUACAUGGAAUUGAAAAAGCAAAUUAUAGAGUUGUGAUGUGCCAAUUUCAAAAUGCAUUGGCAAACUGAAUACACGAAGGUGUGUUUUGAGGAAAGCUCAGACCAGAACUUCCGGGGAGACAUCCGGGGCCUGCAUUAACAGGAAGAGGACCCAAAACCGAUGCCGCAAGAGUGACCUCCCCCAUGACCAUGAGUCAUGGUUUGCCUGCUUAUUUCCAAUGCAAGGUGGCCCCAUUCUUGGAAGUUGGCUAUUCAACAAAGAGGAGGACUUUUCAGGGAUGGCCUCUCCGUUAUGGGAAGUCCUGGC